Molecule: long non-coding RNA, 1027 nt
Organism: Pezoporus flaviventris
Lineage: Eukaryota; Metazoa; Chordata; Aves; Psittaciformes; Psittacidae
Exons: 3
Source: RefSeq, a predicted model, not a curated record
UUUUAUGGUUCAAUUUCAUAACUCUCUGGCAGACAUGUGGUACCCCAAAUUACUGUUUAACUACAGAACCAGUUUUCACCAGCUAAGUUUUCAUAGGUUGUACAAAGAUAGCAUUCUUUUUAACCACAGAGUGUGUCUAUCACCCAAAGAUGACAUUGUCUUUAACCACAGAGCGUGUCUGUUUAAGUCAUCAUAUUUGAAACCCUUUGUUUCAUUUCCUUAGUAACUUAGCCCCAGCCCCACUAUUGCAAAGUCUUAAUAUUGCAAAGCCCCAUCCCUGAUAUUGUGAAAACAACACUGUUUCUCUCACAGAGUUUCCGCAUGUGAACUCUUCUUUCCCUGUUUGUCCCCUGCCCUGAGAAAAAAUCUGGAAAACCUGCAAAUCUGUUCCCCUGCCUGACAAUGUAUUUUUUCUGUUACAGGAUCCCAAAGGAAAUAGAGAAAAUGCAAGAGAGGAAGAACUAUCCAAAAGUUCCAGUGACAGCACAGUUAUCGAAACAGAGGAAGGGAAGAAUAUCAAAGCACCCAAGAAGCCGAAGCUUGUCCAUGAAAUCCCUGUGGAACUGGGUGUAAACGAUGUGCCCUACCUGCUGGAGGACGAAGUGAAGAGCUUGAUGAAAAAGGAUGUUUGAAAUGGCUCUGCUGGGUUAAAGCUCCAUACUCCAAGACUUGAUGAUCCGAGAUCUAGAGAAACAAGAAAGAUAGAACUUGGCCAACAGCUUGGAGUCAUUCAUCUUUGGGACCCAGAGAGAAGACAUUUCCAGAAAGCUUAGCAAGGCUUCCCGUUGGAUGGAGGAGGAGGGCUCUGCAGCUGGAACUAAGGUACUGCUGUGGGUGUUCAGGAUACCAGGCACUGUCCCUGACAUGGAAGUGACCACACAGGCUGACUGAGGAUGGAACCACCACAAUCCUUUGUAAUCUGGUUUUUGCAAGUCUCUUGCUUCCCCGGUGCAUUUUGCACAGAAUAGAACGCAAAGUUCUUGCAGCCAUGGAUGAGCAGUUUCAGCAGCAACUGCUGAAGUAACUC